UAACGCAGCGAAAGCUGUGCUAAUACCGCAUACGAUCUACGGAUGAAAGCAGGGGAUCGCAAGACCUUGCGCGAAUGGAGCGGCCGAUGGCAGAUUAGGUAGUUGGUGAGGUAAAGGCUCACCAAGCCUUCGAUCUGUAGCUGGUCUGAGAGGACGACCAGCCACACUGGGACUGAGACACGGCCCAGACUCCUACGGGAGGCAGCAGA
Molecule: ribosomal RNA, 209 nt
Filed under: uncultured Variovorax sp.
Lineage: Bacteria; Pseudomonadati; Pseudomonadota; Betaproteobacteria; Burkholderiales; Comamonadaceae
Description: partial 16S ribosomal RNA
Rfam family: Bacterial small subunit ribosomal RNA
Source: RNAcentral